Long non-coding RNA from Leopardus geoffroyi (Geoffroy's cat), 2034 nucleotides. RefSeq lists it as uncharacterized. The transcript is spliced from 3 exons. The record is from RefSeq and is a predicted model, not a curated record. Lineage: Eukaryota; Metazoa; Chordata; Mammalia; Carnivora; Felidae.
UGCGAAUGAGCAGGGGAGAGGAGCAGAGAGAGACAGUCCCUCAAACAGGCUCCAUGCCUAUCUUGGAGCCUAGUGGGGCUCGAUCCCACAACCCUGGGACUAUCACCUGAGCCAAGAAUCAAGAAUCGAACACUCAACCCACUGAGCCACCCAGGUGCCCCUAUUUCUCCUGUUUAAAAACAAGGAAACUGAAGUUCAUAAAGUUUCUGGUCAAAGCUUGCUAGAAGGGUGUGUUGACCCAGCCCUAGGGGACACACAGACGGAAAAACUAAUGCCCACUACACGGAAGGAACUUUGUCUGGAGAAGUCAACUAGGAUUGCCAGGCAAGUGAGAACCACUGCACAGGCCAGAGAAGACAGAAGCUGUCACCAGAAGUCGGGAUGGUCACGCCUAGGGAAUCCCACACGGAUAUUUUAUAUCGUGGGCGCCCAUUUACAAGAGCAGGAUAGGGCGGUGGAGAGGCAGCAAUUUGACUCUGGGGCCGGACCCUGGACUCCAGUCUGAGCUCUAGCAUGACUGCCCUUCAAUCUGGGAAAUUCCUCUUCUCUAGGCCUAUGUCUCCCUACCUAUAAAAGGCAAUUAGAUUAGAAAAUCCUGGAGUUUUGCAAAGAUUGUGCAAACCUCCCUGUAAAACACGACCCCAAGCUCGGUUUUCGUGGCUUUCUCAAAAAGAAAAAUACAGAUUUGUUGUGCAAGUGUCCCAUUUGAAUCCCUUCUACUCCUCAUUAUCUGCUCUAUUUCCCUGUGUAUUUGUCUAGAUUUGUUUGAGAGAAAAAAAAAAAUCCUUGGUUAGAAACAAUCACUCUACACUUGUGAAAUACUGUUUUCAUCCCUGGCGUCUUCCGUUCUUCUUAACAGAAGUCCGAGUGGUAGUCACCGUGCUCUAAUGAGAGAGAUUAUUUCAGAACGUCAGCAUGUCAUCUUGAAGAAGUUUACCGGCUUAAAAAUGGGUCUUGAAGUGUACAGAAGAGGCAUAAUUUGCAUACUUUUGCUUCCUGUAACAGUCUUUUUCCAAAUAACACAUCUGUCCUGUCUCCAUUUGCCUGAAGCAGUGUAGAGAGCAUACUGUCUUUGAAAGAGAGAAUUAAUAACGCAUUAGGCAGCCUUCAUCUGGAAUAACAGUUCAGGUGUAGUCCAGUCAGCAUCUAAUCCAAGAUACUAAUAUCAUAGUCCCUGGGAGGGUGGGCUUCCCAUGUAAAUUGCCAUCGAUUUUGUACUUUAAUUUGACAGUCACUAAUGUAAUGUAUGCUAUGAACAAGGAAGGACCCAGGCUGGAUGAGGCAUAUAAAGAAAACCAACUUCUCUGACAUUCGGUUUCCUCAUCUCUGGAACACUUACCGUUGCAAUAUUUACCUGAAAAAGAAAGAAGGUGGCGCCUUUAAAAUUCCAGUUUCUGGCGUGGUGGAGAUAUUCACUAAACAGUAACCUCGCCGUAGCAGAUGUAAACCCUCGUUGCCCUGAAGGAACUGAAUAGACCUCAGAUCACAUUUCGGCAUUGUAGAAAAUUCAUUCAUUCUGCUCUGUUCUGCUCUCUUUUAUGCUGUUUGUUUUAUUCCUGGAACAAAGAUCCCACAGCUUGUCUUCGAAACACUUCCAUCGCUUCUCAAUUGGACGCAGAUCUCAGACCUCCAGGGUUUGAUUCAUUCAUCUCGAGCUGGAACUCUGUUUUUUCACCCCGGUCCAGAAGACUGGGAGAUUCACUUUAAAAAGAUGCUGCCGCUGCUUUUUUCCACAUCACAAAAGAAUUAAUGUUUGCGCAGCCCUUUGAAGAUGUGGUGUCACGCAUGUGCUAUUAUUAAUAAUAAACUACAGAUCUGCUUCACACCAUCUGAAAAACAGGGCUGUGCCACCAUGAAAGGGCUCUUAUUUCAGCCCGUUCUCCAUUGUGCUUCGCCCGGGUCCCGCUCUGCUUCAGUCUGAGGCUGCUUCCAGAACAUGGGUAAAGAAAGACAGCAGCUGGAGGGAAACAAAACAACCUCUACCACCCAACACAUUAAAAAAAACAACUAAAGUAAAAGAGGCUUGUUUUUUAA